AUAUCUCUCUGUACGGGAAGGAUGAGAAGGUUCGAUUCGAGCGUCAGCGAGAAAGCGUUGCCGCAGGCAACGACCCGAAGGGCGAAGCGCGCAGCGCUGAGUCAUCCUUCCCCCACCACCA
This 121-nucleotide small RNA is filed under the name Klebsiella pneumoniae. Its description in RNAcentral is "RtT sRNA". It matches the Rfam family "RtT RNA". From Rfam's summary of the family: This family represents a bacterial cis-regulatory element known as RtT RNA. The exact function of RtT is unknown although it is thought that it may be involved in changing the cellular response in relation to amino acid starvation. The record is from RNAcentral. Lineage: Bacteria; Pseudomonadati; Pseudomonadota; Gammaproteobacteria; Enterobacterales; Enterobacteriaceae. RNAcentral also lists the same sequence under 19 other names.